GAUGAACGCUGACAGAAUGCUUAACACAUGCAAGUCUUUGGCGAAGCUGUGCUCGCACAGCCUAGCCAAGGCGGACGGGUGAGUAACGCGUAAGGAACUUGCCCUGCAGUCAGGGAUAACAGACGGAAACGACUGAUAAGACCUGGUAAAGUCAGGCGGACUCAUGUCCAGCCUGAUGAAAAGAGAUGCUGCAGGAGAGCCUUGCGUCCUAUUAGCUUGUUGGUGGGGUAACGGCCCACCAAGGCGAUGAUAGGUAGCCGGCCUGAGAGGGUGGACGGCCACAAGGGGACUGAGAUACGGCCCUUACUCCUACGGGAGGAAGCAGUGGGGAAUAUUGGACAAUGGGGGCAACCCUGAUCCAGCAAUUCUGUGUGCACGAUGAAGGUUUUCGGAGUGUAAAGUGCUUUCAGCAGGGAAGAAAAAAAUGACGGUACCUGCAGAAGAAGCGACGGCUAAAUACGUG
RNAcentral lists this ribosomal RNA (463 nucleotides) under uncultured bacterium. RNAcentral describes it as "partial 16S ribosomal RNA". It matches the Rfam family "Bacterial small subunit ribosomal RNA", at positions 28 to 507 of the family's 1533-position model. The record is from RNAcentral.